Molecule: ribosomal RNA, 433 nt
Filed under: uncultured bacterium
Lineage: Bacteria
Description: partial 16S ribosomal RNA
Rfam family: Bacterial small subunit ribosomal RNA
Source: RNAcentral
AACGAACGCUGGCGGCAGGCCUAACACAUGCAAGUCGAGCGAGAUCUUCGGGUCUGGCGGCGGACGGGUGAGUAACGCGUGGGAAUAUGCCUCUUGGUACGGAAUAGCCUCGGGAAACUGGGAGUAAUACCGUAUGUGCCCUUUGGGGGAAAGAUUUAUCGCCAAGAGAUUAGCCCGCGUUGGAUUAGGUAGUUGGUGGGGUAAUGGCCUACCAAGCCGACGAUCCAUAGCUGGUUUGAGAGGAUGAUCAGCCACACUGGGACUGAGACACGGCCCAGACUCCUACGGGAGGCAGCAGUGGGGAAUCUUAGACAAUGGGGGCAACCCUGAUCUAGCCAUGCCGCGUGAGUGAUGAAGGCCUUAGGGUUGUAAAGCUCUUUCAGCUGGGAAGAUAAUGACGGUACCAGCAGAAGAAGCCCCGGCUAACUCCGUG